GUCGGUGUUGAUUGCGGUGAGGGUCCACCCGUUCCCAUUCCGAACACGGAAGUUAAGCUCACCUGCGCCGAAAAUACUUGUCUGGAGACGGACCGGGAAGAUAGGUAAUGCCGACA
This 116-nucleotide ribosomal RNA is filed under the name Pseudoflavonifractor sp. MCC625. RNAcentral also lists the same sequence under 2 other names. Lineage: Bacteria; Bacillati; Bacillota; Clostridia; Eubacteriales; Oscillospiraceae. The record is from RNAcentral.